RNAcentral lists this long non-coding RNA (1108 nucleotides) under Homo sapiens (human). RNAcentral's name for it is "LHRI_LNC1694.5". Lineage: Eukaryota; Metazoa; Chordata; Mammalia; Primates; Hominidae. The record is from RNAcentral.
UCACCUCGUGGCGUAGGGGAGAGGUAACACCGAGAAGAGGCAGCGGCGGUGGCGCCAAGACGAUUGGUGCCAAACAGGGCAGAACGCAACUCAGCUCUGGGUUUGUGAAUAGCACAAUGGAAGAAGCUGGACUUUGUGGGUUAAGAGAGAAAGCAGAUAUGUUGUGUAACUCUGAAUCACAUGAUAUUCUUCAACAUCAAGACUCAAAUUGCAGUGCCACAAGUAAUAAACAUUUAUUGGAAGAUGAAGAAGGCCGUGACUUUAUAACAAAGAACAGGAGUUGGGUGAGCCCAGUGCACUGCACACAAGAGUCAAGAAGGGAGCUUCCUGAGCAAGAAGUAGCCCCUCCGUCUGGUCAGCAAGCUUUACAAUGCAACAGGAACAAAGAAAAAGUCUUAGAGAGACAAGGUCUUUCCCUGUCACCCAGGCUGGAGCGCGGUGGUACAUUCAUGGGUCAUGGCAGCCUUAAACUCCCUGAGCUCGUGAUCCUGUCUCUUCAGACUCUAGAGUAGCUGGGGCUACAGGCGUACACCACCACACAUGGCUAAUUUUUUAUUUUUCUUUUGUUGUAGAGAUGGGCUGUCAUUCUCUUGCCCAGGCUGGUCUUGGUAUACUGUCCUGUAGCAGUAUAUUUUGGCUACCUGUACUGGCAUUGGCUUUUCCAAGUGUCAAGAUUACAGGAAAAGAAGUUUUAUUAUUGAUGCAAGCCCUAAACACUCUUUCGACUCCAGAGGAGAAGCUGGCAGCUCUCUGUAAGAAAUAUGCUGAUCUUGGAAAUUCACCUCUUCUAUAGAAGAGUUUGUUUUGAACUAUACGAUUUGAAACAAAAUUCUUUUUUUGGAGACUAUGGAAACAUUCUCAACAGGGAAACCCUACUAGACUUUGUAAAGCAAAUAAUGGAAAAGAUACAGAACUUUUUGAAGAAUCAUGGGAAAUUUUUAUAAUUAAAUAAAUGCUAAAAUUCUGUUUUGUGAAACAUUUAUGGGAAUUAUCACUGACAGUUUUUGUACACUUUCAAAUAGUGUUAAAGCAGCAACUCCAUGUUGUAAAUGCACAAAACAAAUAUUUAGUUAAUAAUCAACUCCAAGAAUAAAGCUGUAACAAUAAU